This 221-nucleotide unclassified non-coding RNA is filed under the name Archaeospora sp. Its description in RNAcentral is "partial contains 5.8S ribosomal RNA and internal transcribed spacer 2". The stretch from base 1 to 71 matches the Rfam family "5.8S ribosomal RNA", at positions 84 to 154 of the family's 154-position model. Lineage: Eukaryota; Fungi; Glomeromycota; Glomeromycetes; Archaeosporales; Archaeosporaceae. The record is from RNAcentral.
GUGAAUCAUCAAAUCUUUGAACGCAUAUUGCACUCUCUGGUAUUCCGGAGAGUAUGCCUAUUUGAGGGUCAUUUGAUAUAAUAUAAAUUUCGAGAUGUUCUUGAAAUCAAAAAUGGGUCGGUCCAGCGUUCGUGUGGUUGUCGCCUAAAAUGCAAGACAAGCUCAUUUAUUGUGUUGCGUGAUACUUUUAGUUUCCUAGUGACAUCACAAGAAAUCUUCGC